Molecule: long non-coding RNA, 460 nt
Organism: Brassica napus (rape)
Lineage: Eukaryota; Viridiplantae; Streptophyta; Magnoliopsida; Brassicales; Brassicaceae
Exons: 2
Source: RefSeq, a predicted model, not a curated record
UUGGUUUGUUAAGUAUCAGAAGUCUAUUGGUUAUAACCACAGUUAAGAAUGGCAUCAAAGAUCACAUUCUUAUUGCUCUUUGCUCUCGUUGUCGCUUGUGCAACGAUGAUGAGUGUUCCGACAGUGGAAGCUACUUAUUGUUUAGAUUCUAAAGAUUGCCCAGAUGUACGAUGCAAGAUUGGGGAGAUAGAACGAUGCAGACAGAAUCACUGCACAUGUGUACCUCAAUUCAUGGUCAGCCAUGCAGGGUGACACAAGAUCGAUGCAACAAUCGUUAUCUAAUAAGUGUGUGAAUGGCUUCUGUACUUGUAAUAUUUAAUGCCUAUUAUCAUAAACAUAUGCAUAUUUCUUGUUGUACUAUCCUGGGAAUAUUUUCUUAUUGUUAUUAAUAACAUGUAUUCAGAAAGAGUUAUGUGUAUGUUUAAGAAUAUAGAUUGAAUAAAUUUUUAUUUUAUAUGAA